Molecule: RNA transcript, 1508 nt
Organism: Eucalyptus grandis
Lineage: Eukaryota; Viridiplantae; Streptophyta; Magnoliopsida; Myrtales; Myrtaceae
Exons: 7
Source: RefSeq, a predicted model, not a curated record
UCCUCUCGUUAGAGAUUUUUUCCCCUCGAAUUAUUUGACGAAGACGAAGAUGCUGACAGCGUCCACCUGCGCCACCUCCGCGCGUCCUCCAUCGCCGCCGCUCCCUCCGCGGAAAGAUGAGAGCUUUCACCUCAGACCCGCUUCUCGGCGGCAGCUCCUCGCCGCCCUCGUCUUCCCCGUCGCUCCUCUCCUCGUCGCCGGCGAGCCCACGUCUCCGUUCUCGCCCGUCGCUGACGCCCGCGGCCUCUUCCAGAUGCCCCCUCCUCGGCUCACCAAUAGGUAUUUCUUGGUGAAGGCAGGGGAGUCUGAGUACGAAAGCCUUGGAAUAAUCAACACUAAUCCGGUCGCGAAGACGUCAGUCGAUAGCGGGUUGUCAGAGAAAGGGAAGAAGCAGAUGGUUCGGGCAGCCUUUGAUUUGAAGGAGAUGGGGGCAUGCGAAAGGAACUGUUGGAUUUGGCCUUCUAUCACUCAGAGAGCUUACCAAGCUGCUGAAAUCAUUGCUUCGGUGAACAGGAUCAGUCGGAGCUACAUAGUCCCAGAGUAUACCUUCCUAGAUGCCAGGGGAUUGGGAGCCUAUGAAGGGAAGAACCUUGACUCUGUUUCAGAGGUAUAUGCAUCUGACAGCAUCUCUCCAAGGAUCAAGCCUCCUCCCAUAGAUGAUGGGACUCCUAAUGAGAGUGUCGCAGACGUAUUCGUUCGCGUCACACAACUUAUGUCAAUUCUUGAGACCCAGUACUCAGAAGACACCGUAAUCAUUGUCUCGCCUGAUUCUGACAACUUGUCAGUUUUACAAGCUGGCAUAGUUGGCCUUGACCUUCGGAGGCACAGAGAGCUUUCUUUUGCUCCUGGAGAGGUCAGAUUUGUCGAUGCCAGCAGCAUACCAACUUAUAAACAGCCUGCAUCUGCUGUUUAUAAAUGCUUAAAUCCACCGAGUUGUACCUGAAUUGUAUACUCUCUCUCAAAAUCUAUAAUUAGUAUGAGGUAUAAUGUUGACACUACCAAUCAUGUGAAACAAUAUUGUACCUUAAGGACUUGGUCUUGAUAAUUUCGGGCCUCAUCAGUUAGCUGCCGUUAAUGAACUUACAUGGUUUGGCUGUAUCUGCUAAAGGAGCACAAAACUAUCCUUUCCUUUCGGAUGGCAUCGCUGCAGAUACACGGAGAUCAGCGAGGAAGGCAUUUGUUCUGAUUACAGGAAACGUGACCCGUUCGAUGAGAUGCUGAGCAAAACUGGUGCAGGGGUACUUGGCUUCUGUGGUUUUAGGUGAGUUGAGGUGGGAAGGAAAAUCACAAAGUUGUGGAGGGCUCUUCUGAUGCCAGAUCAAUGAAAACUUUGGUCAGCUGCAGCUGCUGCAGCUGGUGUGUACGUUUGGUCUAAGCAGCUCAACCCCCCAUCCCCCACCCCCAUCAAACGCUUUUGCAUUUCUUGACUCUUGGUGUAAUAUUCAGUCCAUCAAAUUCUGAUCUUGAGAAUUCCAAUUUGCACUGUGGAACUGCUCUUUCCCUCUCGA